RNAcentral lists this transfer RNA (63 nucleotides) under Trichopria drosophilae. RNAcentral's name for it is "tRNA-Glu". Lineage: Eukaryota; Metazoa; Arthropoda; Insecta; Hymenoptera; Diapriidae. The record is from RNAcentral.
AUUUAUAUAAUUUAUUUAAAAUAUUAUAUUUUCAAUAUAAAAAUAUUAAUUUAAUUAUAAAUA